This 253-nucleotide ribosomal RNA is filed under the name uncultured bacterium. RNAcentral's name for it is "partial 16S ribosomal RNA". It matches the Rfam family "Bacterial small subunit ribosomal RNA", at positions 524 to 776 of the family's 1533-position model. The record is from RNAcentral.
UACGGAGGGUGCGAGCGUUAAUCGGAAUUACCGGGCGUAAAGGGUGCGUAGGUUGUUGAUUAAGUUACAUGUAAAAACUUAGGGCUUAACCUUAGGCUGAGAUGUAAGACUGAUUGACUCGAGUAAGUGAGAGGGUAGUGGAAUUUCCGGUGUAGCGGUGAAAUGCGUAGAGAUCGGAAGGAACACCAGUUGCGAAGGCGGCUACCUGGCAUUUGACUGACACUGAGGCACGAAAGCGUGGGUAGCAAACAGG